AACGAACGCUGGCGGCAUGCCUAACACAUGCAAGUCGAACGGGAUCCUGGCUUCGGACAGGUGAGAGUGGCGGACGGGUGAGUAACGCGUGGGAACCUGCCCAGUGGUGGGGGAUAACUGCGGGAAACUGCAGCUAAUACCGCAUGAGCCCGAGAGGGGAAAGAUUUAUCGCCAUUGGAGGGGCCCGCGUUCGAUUAGGUAGUUGGUGAGGUAACGGCUCACCAAGCCGACGAUCGAUAGCUGGUCUGAGAGGAUGAUCAGCCACACUGGGACUGAGAUACGGCCCAGACUCCUACGGGAGGCAGCAGUGGGGAAUAUUGGACAAUGGGGGGCAACCCUGAUCUAGCAAUGCCGCGUGAGUGAUGAAGGCCUUAGGGUUGUAAAGCUCUUUUGCCAGGGAAGAUGAUGACUGUACCUGGAGAAUAAGCCCCGGCUAACUUCGUGCCAGCAGCCGCGGUAAU
This 461-nucleotide ribosomal RNA is filed under the name uncultured bacterium. RNAcentral's name for it is "bacterial SSU rRNA". It matches the Rfam family "Bacterial small subunit ribosomal RNA", at positions 29 to 524 of the family's 1533-position model. The record is from RNAcentral.